AUGAACCCAAAUAUUAAGUGGUAGAUAUUAGUUAUUAGGGUUUUCUUACACCAUAUUAUAGGGUAUGAUACAUGUAAUAGCCUAAUUUUGCCCGGCCCAAUACACAUAAAUAAACCCAAACCAAACCAAAACAAAACAAAAACAAAAUAAAUAAAGUCCAUUUACAAAAAAAAAUACACUAGCCCAAAUUACAAGCCCAAACAUAGCCAAAAGACCAAAAAUUAAAUAAUUUUCAGAAACCCUAAAAAACCCUAACUCUAGCCGCCAUCGUUCCUCUACUUCGCCACGUUAGUGAGAAUGCU
RNAcentral lists this long non-coding RNA (302 nucleotides) under Gossypium raimondii (Peruvian cotton). Its description in RNAcentral is "long non-coding RNA (GRAI_LNC007113)". Lineage: Eukaryota; Viridiplantae; Streptophyta; Magnoliopsida; Malvales; Malvaceae. The record is from RNAcentral.